This 497-nucleotide ribosomal RNA is filed under the name uncultured bacterium. Its description in RNAcentral is "partial 16S ribosomal RNA". It matches the Rfam family "Bacterial small subunit ribosomal RNA", at positions 28 to 507 of the family's 1533-position model. The record is from RNAcentral.
GACGAACGCUGGCGGCGUGCCUAAUACAUGCAAGUAGAACGCUGAAGAGAGGAGCUUGCUCUUCUUGGAUGAGUUGCGAACGGGUGAGUAACGCGUAGGUAACCUGCCUUGUAGCGGGGGAUAACUAUUGGAAACGAUAGCUAAUACCGCAUAACAAUGGAUGACACAUGUCAUUUAUUUGAAGGGGGCAAUUGCUCCACUACAAGAUGGACCUGCGUUGUAUUAGCUAGUAGGUGAGGUAAUGGCUCACCUAGGCGACGAUACAUAGCCGACCUGAGAGGGUGAUCGGCCACACUGGGACUGAGACACGGCCCAGACUCCUACGGGAGGCAGCAGUAGGGAAUCUUCGGCAAUGGGGGCAACCCUGACCGAGCAACGCCGCGUGAGUGAAGAAGGUUUUCGGAUCGUAAAGCUCUGUUGUAAGUCAAGAACGGGUGUGAGAGUGGAAAGUUCACACUGUGACGGUAGCUUACCAGAAAGGGACGGCUAACUACGUG